CCCUUAGAUGUCCUGGGCCGCACGCGCGUUACACUGAUGCAUUCAACGAGCUUAUAACCUUGGCCGAGAGGCCCGGGCAAUCUUGUUAACGUGCAUCGUGAUAGGGAUAGAUUAUUGAAAUUACUAAUCUUGAACGAGGAAUUCCUAGUAAACGCAGAUCAUCAAUCUGCAUUGAUUACGUCCCUGCCCUUUGUACACACCGCCCGUCGCACCUACCGAUUGGAUGGUCCGGUGAAGCCUCGGGAUUGUGGUUCUUGCCGCUUUAUUGUGGCGUGACCGCGAGAACUUGUCUAAACCUUAUCAUCUAGAGGAAGGUGAAGUCGUAACA
This 328-nucleotide ribosomal RNA is filed under the name uncultured eukaryote. Its description in RNAcentral is "partial 18S ribosomal RNA". It matches the Rfam family "Eukaryotic small subunit ribosomal RNA", at positions 1470 to 1796 of the family's 1831-position model. The record is from RNAcentral.